RNAcentral lists this ribosomal RNA (497 nucleotides) under uncultured bacterium. RNAcentral describes it as "partial 16S ribosomal RNA". It matches the Rfam family "Bacterial small subunit ribosomal RNA", at positions 28 to 507 of the family's 1533-position model. The record is from RNAcentral.
GAUGAACGCUGGCGGCGUGCCUAAUACAUGCAAGUCGAGCGAACAGACGAGAAGCUUGCUUCUCUGAAGUUAGCGGCGGACGGGUGAGUAACACGUGGAUAACCUACCUAUAAGACUGGGAUAACUUCGGGAAACCGGAGCUAAUACCGGAUAAUAUUUUGAACCGCAUGGUUCAAUAGUGAAAGACGGUCUUGCUGUCACUUAUAGAUGGAUCCGCGCUGCAUUAGCUAGUUGGUAAGGUAACGGCUUACCAAGGCAACGAUGCGUAGCCGACCUGAGAGGGUGAUCGGCCACACUGGAACUGAGACACGGUCCAGACUCCUACGGGAGGCAGCAGUAGGGAAUCUUCCGCAAUGGGCGAAAGCCUGACGGAGCAACGCCGCGUGAGUGAUGAAGGUCUUCGGAUCGUAAAACUCUGUUAUUAGGGAAGAACAUAUGUGUAAGUAACUGUGCACGUCUUGACGGUACCUAAUCAGAAAGCCACGGCUAACUACGUG